GACGAACGCUGGCGGCGUGCCUAAUACAUGCAAGUCGAACGAGACUUUCCUUGGUGGUAACACCUUUGAUUGUCUAGUGGCGAACGGGUGAGUAACACGUGAGAAACCUGCCCUGAAGACGGGGAUAACAGGAGGAAACUUCUGCUAAUACCCGAUACCCCCACCGGAUCGCAUGGUCUGGUGAGGAAAUGGAUUCCGCUUCAGGAGGGUCUCGCGGCCUAUCAGCUUGUUGGUGAGGUAACGGCUUACCAAGGCUUGGACGGGUAGCUGGUCUGAGAGGACGAUCAGCCACACUGGGACUGAGACACGGCCCAGACUCCUACGGGAGGCAGCAGUAAGGAAUAUUGCGCAAUGGGCGAAAGCCUGACGCAGCAACGCCGCGUGCGGGAUGAAGGCCCUCGGGUUGUAAACCGCUUUCAGUAGGGAAGAAAAUGACGGUACCUACAGGAGAAGCCCCGGCCAACUACGUGCCAGCAGCCGCGGUCACACGUAGGGGGCGAGCGUUGUCCGGAUUUAUUGGGCGUAAAGAGCUCGUAGGCGGUUUCGUAAGUCGGAUGUGAAAACUCCAGGCUCAACUUGGAGACGCCAUUCGAUACUGCGAUGACUUGAGUCCGGUGGGGGAGUGUGGAAAUCCUGGUGUAGCGGUGAAAUGCGCAGAUAUCAGGAGGAACACCGGCGGCGAAGGCGGCACUCUGGGCCGGUACUGACGCUGAGGAGCGAAAGCGUGGGUAGCAAACAGGAUUAGAUACCCUGGUAGUCCACGCCGUAAACGGUGGGCACUAGGUGUGGGAAUCACUCAACGGA
Molecule: ribosomal RNA, 804 nt
Filed under: uncultured Actinomycetes bacterium
Lineage: Bacteria; Bacillati; Actinomycetota; Actinomycetes
Description: bacterial SSU rRNA
Rfam family: Bacterial small subunit ribosomal RNA
Source: RNAcentral